This 193-nucleotide unclassified non-coding RNA is filed under the name soil metagenome. Its description in RNAcentral is "partial contains 5.8S ribosomal RNA, internal transcribed spacer 2, and large subunit ribosomal RNA". The record is from RNAcentral.
AAGACUAUAGACCUGCGGAGUACCUGCGGAAGGAUCAUUACCGAGUGAGGCCAUUCUCGUGGCCCUCCAACCCUCAAGACCUGUGGACCAUGUAAACUGUGCUUCGGCGCUCGCGGGCGCCGCAUUUAUGCAAGACAAAAGCGAUGCGUCUGGAUAAUGAGUAAUGAUUUAAAACUUUCAGCAACGGAUCUCU